RNAcentral lists this long non-coding RNA (3906 nucleotides) under Gallus gallus (chicken). Lineage: Eukaryota; Metazoa; Chordata; Aves; Galliformes; Phasianidae. The record is from RNAcentral.
UUGUCGCGCAUGGAAAUGGUGAGAUGCAAAGCCUGCUUCAGUAUCAAGCCACGACCUAAAAAUUAUUUUAUGCAACUCAACUAAAUCAUCAGGGAGCAGCGGAAAUGUUAUUUCACAUGCUCUUAAGUGGAAAGGGCCUUUAAGUAGGAUAGCAAGUUGGAACACAGCUGCCCGUUGAAGAUUUGCAAAGGCAAAAACUGAGCAAAGGAAUGGAAAUGCUUAAUGCUAAGGAGAACGCCAUCCUGCCAUCUCUCUAAAGUCAACACCACAUAGGCACUGGUCAAAUACAAGCUCCUGGAGUCAGCACAGGAACUACUGUGAGAAAUGCAAAAGUCUGAAACCUCUAGAUUCGCCAGAUGAUCUAAUUGCUGCGAGAAGGAGCAGUAUCGGAACAAUAUAGAAUAAUACUAAUGUAUACGGCAUCAUUCUAUUUUGGAUGGUAAGAACAGUAAUAGCUGAGCACGAAUAACAGGCAUGGAUUCAUCUGCUAUUUCAAGAGAGGUUUCUUUCCCUCCUUGUCUCCUGCUUCACUAGUUUAACAACAACAACAUCUCAUUUCAUACCUUAAGACAGCUCAGUAUUGCUAAGCUUGUUCCCUGCCAAAAUGGAAGGAACGUCAGGUAACAAAACCUAAAGGAUGACUAAUUUGUCUUCUAGCUGCACAAUAAUAAACACCAGAACUGAAGACUGUAAACCAUGCCAGUAUUUUGGGCCAAGGCUGGAGUGCUCAAGCAUCUAGCAAGCAGAACAAGAGGAAUGUCACUGUGUGACCAAGGAGAGCUCAACCUCUGCUCUCAAAUUUGGCCACUGUUAAUGGCCUGUAAAACUUCUAAGCUGCCUCAAUGAGAACAAGCAACGCCAAGAAGAACAGGCCCAGCAGGGAGGGCUAUUCAGGCCAUAGCAGUUCUUGCCCUUAUUGGAACAGAACGGGUGCGGCUACAUGCAACCCACAGCGAACAGAACAUGUGAUGCAGAUAUGCCAUCUACAUAGCUGCCUGGAGAUCAUACAAAGCUGCAGAAGGAUACCCACUGUCCAUAAAAAGUUGCAUACCUUAAGUUAGAUGAUAGAAGCUACAACACUAAGCAUUGUUACAAAAUAUAGAGAGAGAGACUAAGAACAAUAAAAACAGGUUUGCAAUUGUGAUAUUUUUAUUGUUGUUUUAUGAGAGGUAGCAGAAAGGACGACCUGCACUUUUCAAAUCAUUGUAGCAAAGUACACAAUAUUAAUUUUCAAGGAAACCAACAUUCAUAUCAACGCUAAAGGAAAUUUUAGUAUCUGUGCAACAUGCAUGCACGUCAGACUCAGAAAGGAAGGCUUGGAUAAGGAAGACAUUUGGGCAUUUAGCUCAAUCUUCAAACAUAAACUUGGUGAUUCUUCCUCUGCUGCUCCCGUCUGUCAGCAUUAAUCCACAGCCACAUCAGAGGGAGACAAGAGGCCAAAGCAAUGCCUAGUUGAGAGAUGUCUGGCUGAAACACAGAGCAGUCUGUGAGUCUAAUCCAGGCUUUAUAUUCAAAAGGAGAAGAAAGCAGAUACAGUAACUAAGAUUAUGGUUUUCCAGUUAUUUCUUCUGAAUAACUGCUCUCAGAACGGAGCUGCUCAGAGUUGCAUUUAGUAUGGACUUCAUAAAUAACUCUUCAUUAGUACCACUUAGUAGUAAAGUGGUGGUAGCCACCAUUAUUUGAAGCUCUAUGAAAUACGCAGAUUGAUCUUUCCAGUUUUAAGAUCAAAUUACUUCCCAUCGUUCCAAUUUCAUCCUUAUUUCAAAUCACUUGGUUAAUAGCAGGCAAGGGGUUUCAGCUUCAUAAAUACAAUAAGGGAGCUAAAGAAUCUCUCUCUGAUGAGUACUUCAUGACAAUGCUUCCUUGACUUUUCAUUUUCAGCAGUUAUCACGAGUAGUUCUGCAAAAUCUUUCUAAUGGAGGACAGGCUGGAGUUUGAGGAGCAGAAAGCAAGGACGUGGGUUGGCUUUUUACAGGAAUAUAUUGGAAGGGUUAGGAAGCAUAGGGUUGUGAAAAUUUGGCAGAUGAUACCCUUAUGCAUGCUACAGCCAGCCAUUAUGUGUCACAUGACAGGAAAUUCCUAACGGUAACAUAAAACACCUUCACUAAGGAAAAAAUGAAAUGAUGCUUUAACAAAAUUUCAUGCCCAUGACACAGGCCGAGGUAGGCUGGGUGACCUGCCAGCCUGAAGACACUCCAUAUGUUAUGAUCAUGAGCUCAGGAAAAAAAAAAAAAAGCUUGUGUUUCUUUUUUAGACCAUGACGAUCCAUUUUAUUUAUUGAGCUGAAUCUCAUCACACCUUGCAGCAAAAUUAAGAAUCACAUAGUAAAUACCUGGAGCUUGCUAAAAUUAUUAAAAUAACUAUCUCAGACAGUAUGCCCUGGCCUUGAUCCUUCCAAUCACUGAAAUGCUCAUUUAAUUAAAAGCCAUCUGAAGUUAGAAAGAACAUUAAAAACAAAAACAACAACAACAAAGAAACACCUGUCAGAGAAGCCCCCACAAGAUUUCAGACAAUGAAAUAUCUUAGUGAAUAAUGUAUGAGAAAAUUUGUUGCAUUUAACGUUUAUUUGGUAUAAUAGUAGGUCUGAGCUUACCAUCUCUGAUUAAUUUAACUCCUUAAGUCUGACUGAUCACCGCUGUAUCUCUUGGCGCUGGUUAAGGACAUCUCCACUAAGUAGAGCAUUUGCUGACAUUGUCCCCAGUGAGCAAUGGUCAUUACUGCUCACACACAUUAAGCCAGAGCUGCUCCCUAGCAGAUGUUCUAGUAAAAGAGCCAUCCCAAUUUGUUACAUUUCCCAUUAAAAGAAUAAAUAAUGUAUUUUCUACCAAAAUGAUAUUAAAAUGCUGGGAGAUUCAUAAAAGUCCUCCAGUCUCAUUCAGAGGAAGGGGAGAAAGGCACUUUGCAAUAUAUUGGCAAGACUUUUUGCUACCAACACAUCAGUGUCACAGAUGAAUCAUGAUAUUCCAAAAACAUCAGCCUUCAUAACAACAAAAGUAACCACAAUUUCAAUAAAUUGGAAGGACACAUCAAGGUCUAUAAAGCAAGAGGAUGAAAGGAGUUAUUAGCCUGCUACUUGUUCCCUGUCCCUUCCCUGCUAUUAGCUGUUUGCCUUCCAAGAAGCUCAGUGAAGCAACAUGUCUCUAAUAGCAUCACUGUGAACUCAGCUUUAAAGACAAAACUCUAACACAUUACGUGCAUAAAUCAAACACAUGAGUGGCAAUAUUUGUGGUGGACUGAGCAGCAGACACACACAGCUGAGCACAUCAGUAGACACCAACAACACGUUUACCACAUAGCCCUGCAGCUGAAGCUUCAGCGGCUCAGCACUGCAAGGAGCAAUGCUCCCUGGUGCACUGGGAGCGAGGGGACAUACGAGCAGCCAGCGAGAAGCAGCAAUUCUGGAACCCAGAGCACCCUGCCUGGAUCAGAUGCCGCAGGAAAACAGUGAUUUUGGGGUACGCUCCACUGUAUGAAACAUAGAACGUUUGUUUUCUGAAAAAAGCAUCGCUGCAUUGGGCACUUGGAAGCAAUAAUCAGGUUCUGAAAGUUUACAAGAGACCGUGCAUUUUUAGUCUGAUCUUCCCAUUAGGAUUAAUUGUAAGCAGCGUAAGCAGAGUCAUAAAGAAGCCCCAGAGGAAAAAAAAAUAUCUUCCCUAUAAUUAAUUGUGCCAUUUGACUAAUAAAACAACUUAUACUUCCAUUAACCAAGCUGCAUGCAAAGAGACUUGAUUUUCAGAUCCACUUGACAUAAACAUAGCUUAUCUUAAUUAAUCCUUCUGCAGGCUUUGUUUUCUGGAACGCAUUCACCUCAAAUAAAGCAACUUUUAUCAACACCUAAGCAGUAUUUUUAUCUUUAUAGCCUCAGGUAGAUGCCGGAGCUAAGCUGGGAUCCAGCAAUGUCUUCGC